RNAcentral lists this unclassified non-coding RNA (645 nucleotides) under Hevea brasiliensis (rubber tree). The record is from RNAcentral. Lineage: Eukaryota; Viridiplantae; Streptophyta; Magnoliopsida; Malpighiales; Euphorbiaceae.
GCAGGAACCAAUUGUGUCUGUGAUGAACCACCUGUCCAACUCCACAAAUUAUUUCCCCAGCUAGUUCCUGGAGAAACGAGUGUCCCGUAGCUGGAAACAAAUUGUUCUGGCUGUUGGUGCUGUUGAUAAUGAGGUUGGUUGUACAAUUGGUGGUUAGUGCUGACAUCAUUAGUGAUCAAGCUUUUUGUGCCAGCUAUAUGUGGAUUCAUACCACUGGGUCUCACAGUUCCAACAAUAUUAAUAGGAAAAAACGGCGCUGCUGUUUCUGGAAGAGUUGAGCUUACAUUUGAGGUGGGAGUGUGCCUGGCAUUGACAAACGGGGGUUGUUGCAUGACUACAACUGGUUCUGUCACAGUUCCUGCUGGUAGAUUCUUCAAUUCAUUUUCAACAGGCACAUAAUCAGCUUCUGUCUUGGCGGGUGGAAGUGACACCUGCAAAGAAGAUGACAAAGAACAGGAAACAGAAGGAUUUGAUCCCGCAUCUGGAAACCUUUUGUCAACAGGUACUGACACCUGAGGUGCCUUGCCCCGGUCCAAUUUUGGCUCAGUCCCUUCCAGCAGUGGCAUGUUGUUGCUCACAGGAUCCAUAGAAGGCCUUACUGGGGCAACAACUUUAGUAUAAUUGAGCUCUUUAUCAUCUGCCUUU